RNAcentral lists this transfer RNA (77 nucleotides) under Candidatus Crickella caballi. Its description in RNAcentral is "tRNA-Asp". It matches the Rfam family "tRNA". From Rfam's summary of the family: Transfer RNA (tRNA) molecules are approximately 80 nucleotides in length. Their secondary structure includes four short double-helical elements and three loops (D, anti-codon, and T loops). Further hydrogen bonds mediate the characteristic L-shaped molecular structure. tRNAs have two regions of fundamental functional importance: the anti-codon, which is responsible for specific mRNA codon recognition, and the 3' end, to which the tRNAs corresponding amino acid is attached (by aminoacyl-tRNA synthetases). tRNAs cope with the degeneracy of the genetic code in two manners: having more than one tRNA (with a specific anti-codon) for a particular amino acid; and 'wobble' base-pairing, i.e. permitting non-standard base-pairing at the 3rd anti-codon position. The record is from RNAcentral. Lineage: Bacteria; Bacillati; Bacillota; Clostridia; Peptostreptococcales; Anaerovoracaceae.
GGCCGGGUAGUUCAGUUGGUUAGAAUGCCAGCCUGUCACGCUGGAGGUCGGCGGUUCGAGCCCGUUCCCGGUCGCCA